RNAcentral lists this ribosomal RNA (1372 nucleotides) under uncultured bacterium. RNAcentral describes it as "bacterial SSU rRNA". It matches the Rfam family "Bacterial small subunit ribosomal RNA", at positions 28 to 1381 of the family's 1533-position model. The record is from RNAcentral.
GAUGAACGCUGGCGGCGUGCCUAAUACAUGCAAGUCGAGCGAACGGACGAGAAGCUUGCUUCUCUGAUGUUAGCGGCGGACGGGUGAGUAACACGUGGGUAACCUACCUAUAAGACUGGGAUAACUUCGGGAAACCGGAGCUAAUACCGGAUAAUAUUUUGAACCGCAUGGUUCAAAAGUGAAAGACGGUCUUGCUGUCACUUAUAGAUGGAUCCGCGCUGCAUUAGCUAGUUGGUAAGGUAACGGCUUACCAAGGCAACGAUGCAUAGCCGACCUGAGAGGGUGAUCGGCCACACUGGAACUGAGACACGGCCCAGACUCCUACGGGAGGCAGCAGUAGGGAAUCUUCCGCAAUGGGCGAAAGCCUGACGGAGCAACGCCGCGUGAGUGAUGAAGGUCUUCGGAUCGUAAAACUCUGUUAUUAGGGAAGAACAUAUGUGUAAGUAACUGUGCACAUCUUGACGGUACCUAAUCAGAAAGCCACGGCUAACUACGUGCCAGCAGCCGCGGUAAUACGUAGGUGGCAAGCGUUAUCCGGAAUUAUUGGGCGUAAAGCGCGCGUAGGCGGUUUUUUAAGUCUGAUGUGAAAGCCCACGGCUCAACCGUGGAGGGUCAUUGGAAACUGGAAAACUUGAGUGCAGAAGAGGAAAGUGGAAUUCCAUGUGUAGCGGUGAAAUGCGCAGAGAUAUGGAGGAACACCAGUGGCGAAGGCGACUUUCUGGUCUGUAACUGACGCUGAUGUGCGAAAGCGUGGGGAUCAAACAGGAUUAGAUACCCUGGUAGUCCACGCCGUAAACGAUGAGUGCUAAGUGUUAGGGGGUUUCCGCCCCUUAGUGCUGCAGCUAACGCAUUAAGCACUCCGCCUGGGGAGUACGACCGCAAGGUUGAAACUCAAAGGAAUUGACGGGGACCCGCACAAGCGGUGGAGCAUGUGGUUUAAUUCGAAGCAACGCGAAGAACCUUACCAAAUCUUGACAUCCUUUGACAACUCUAGAGAUAGAGCCUUCCCCUUCGGGGGACAAAGUGACAGGUGGUGCAUGGUUGUCGUCAGCUCGUGUCGUGAGAUGUUGGGUUAAGUCCCGCAACGAGCGCAACCCUUAAGCUUAGUUGCCAUCAUUAAGUUGGGCACUCUAAGUUGACUGCCGGUGACAAACCGGAGGAAGGUGGGGAUGACGUCAAAUCAUCAUGCCCCUUAUGAUUUGGGCUACACACGUGCUACAAUGGACAAUACAAAGGGCAGCGAAACCGCGAGGUCAAGCAAAUCCCAUAAAGUUGUUCUCAGUUCGGAUUGUAGUCUGCAACUCGACUACAUGAAGCUGGAAUCGCUAGUAAUCGUAGAUCAGCAUGCUACGGUGAAUACGUUCCCGGGUCU